UACAGAGGGGGCAAGCGUUGUUCGGAAUUACUGGGCGUAAAGGGCGCGUAGGCGGCCUGCUAAGUCGAACGUGAAAUCCCUGGGCUCAACCCAGGAACUGCGUCCGAUACUGGUUGGCUUGAAUCCGGGAGAGGGAUGUGGAAUUCCAGGUGUAGCGGUGAAAUGCGUAGAUAUCUGGAGGAACACCGGUGGCGAAGGCGACAUCCUGGACCGGUAUUGACGCUGAGGCGCGAAAGCCAGGGGAGCAAACCGG
This 253-nucleotide ribosomal RNA is filed under the name uncultured bacterium. Its description in RNAcentral is "partial 16S ribosomal RNA". It matches the Rfam family "Bacterial small subunit ribosomal RNA", at positions 524 to 776 of the family's 1533-position model. The record is from RNAcentral.